GGCUUAGAGUUUGAUCAUGGCUCAGGAUGAACGCUGGCGGCGUGCUUAACACAUGCAAGUCGAGCGAAGCACUUACUUUUGAUUUCUUCGGAAUGACGAGGUCUGUGACUUAGCGGCGGACGGGUGAGUAACGCGUGGGCAACCUGCCUCACACAGGGGGAUAACAGUUAGAAAUGACUGCUAAUACCGCAUAAGACCACAGCACCGCAUGGUGCAGGGGUAAAAACUCCGGUGGUGUGAGAUGGGCCCGCGUCUGAUUAGGUAGUUGGUGCGGUAACGGCGCACCAAGCCGACGAUCAGUAGCCGACCUGAGAGGGCGACCGGCCACAUUGGGACUGAGACACGGCCCAAACUCCUACGGGAGGCAGCAGUGGGGAAUAUUGCACAAUGGGGGAAACCCUGAUGCAGCGACGCCGCGUGAAGGAUGAAGUAUUUCGGUAUGUAAACUUCUAUCAGCAGGGAAGAAAAUGACGGUACCUGACUAAGAAGCCCCGGCUAACUACGUGCCAGCAGCCGCGGUAAUACGUAGGGGGCAAGCGUUAUCCGGAUUUACUGGGUGUAAAGGGAGCGUAGACGGCUGUGCAAGUCUGGAGUGAAAACCCGGGGCUCAACCCCGGGAUUGCUUUGGAAACUGUGUAGCUGGAGUACCGGAGAGGCAAGUG
RNAcentral lists this ribosomal RNA (662 nucleotides) under uncultured organism. RNAcentral describes it as "bacterial SSU rRNA". It matches the Rfam family "Bacterial small subunit ribosomal RNA", at positions 1 to 663 of the family's 1533-position model. The record is from RNAcentral.